CACAAACGUGGCGCGCCUUCCAUCUUCCCCCCACCACUCGAACAGACUAGCGCUCCACUAGAAGCGCCUCCUCGCUUCUUCCUUUCGCACGACCGGAAGCGACGGCCGACGGUGAAGUGAACCAAGGCAAAACGACGGCAAUCGCCGACCCCCUAAUGACAUCAACCAGCGCUCCCGCAAGCGCGUGCCGCGUCACGCCGGCGCGCUCGACGGCCUCCUUCCUCCCCGCGCGCUCGCUGGCGGGCUGCAGGGCGGUGGUUUGGCGGUGCUGGAGCGCUAGGAGGGGGAGGCGGAGAAGAUGGGCGGCGCUGAGGGCCAGGUGCGUCGGAGGCCAGUCGUCCGCCGUGCAGCCCGAUUCCGGCAGCGCUGGGGAGGGGUUGGUGGCGGAGGAGGACGGGCCGCGCCGGCCGCCGUUCGACCUCAACCUCGCCGUCGUGCUCGCCGGGUUCGCAUUCGAAGCCUACACCAGCCCGCCGGCAGAUGUGGGCUGGCGCGAGACCGAUGCGGCGGACUGUCAGACAGUGUUCCUAUCCGACGUGUUUCUCCGUGAAGUAUAUGAUGGACAACUAGUUGUGAAACUGAAGAAAGGCAUAAAUCUUCCUGCAAUGGACCCAUGGGGUACAAGUGAUCCUUAUGUAAUUCUACAACUGAAUGGCCAAACUGCAAGAAGCAACAUUAAAUGGGCGACGAAGGAGCCAACAUGGAAUGAAAGUUUCACGUUUAACAUUAGGAAAUCUCGAGAAAAUCUGCUUCAGGUUGCAGCUUGGGACGCGAACCUUGUUACCCCACACAAACGCAUGGGAAAUGCUGGAUUGUACCUUGAAUCACUUUGUGACGGAAAUAGUCAUAAUGUUACUGUUGAAUUAGAAGGCCUUGGUGGUGGUGGAACUAUUGAGAUAGAGGUCAAAUACAAGAGUUAUGAUGAUAUUGAGCGCGAGAAACAAUGGUGGAGAAUACCCUUUGUGUCUGACUUUCUUGUGAAGAGUAGCCUGGGAUCUGCUCUUAGAACGGUCCUUGGAUCUGAAAGUAUAAAUGCAAGUCAGUUUGUGCAGUCUGCAUUCGGGCAACUAAGUUCUUUCACUUACACCUACCUUCCAAAACCAUCAUCUUUGGAAAGUGGAGGUGAGGUCUCUGAAAGUGUUGAAGAACCCCGGGAUAACGCAGUUGAAUCAAACAACCUUCAACAGCAGAAGAUUGAUUCUGGAGAUAGUUUAGAUUCUCACUGUGAGGCUCAAUCUCCUGCUGCAGCUGUUAACAGUGAAGGAGAUGUGUCGUCAGAUGAAUACUUCUGGAGAGCUUUGAAUAACGUGCUCAAUCAAAAUGUUCUACAAAACUUUGGAUUUUCUCUUCCUGAGGUCAAGAAAUUGGAUGGAUUUGACCUAUUAAGUUCACUUGGUCUGAAAUCACGCGAAAUUGCUGAACAGAAAUAUUUAGAAUCUGGACUGGCGACGACAGAUACUUCAACAAGUGAUGGCAGUGAAACAACUCCUGAAGAUUCAGUUGGUGUUGACAAUGAAAAUGGUGCAUUGACAACCAAAGAGGAGGAUCAGUCUUCCUUUCUGGACAUCAAUAAAGUAUCUCGGGAUGUAUUGUCUCAAACAGAAAAUAUACUAGGUGCUCUAAUGAUACUUUCGAAAAACCUCUCACCACAUGACAACAAGUCAGUAACAACAAAUGAGACAAAUAAAAAAGAUGAUAUGAUCAUAGAACAAGAAGUUGCUGCAGCUGAAGACUCUAUUGAUAAGGAUAAUACUGUUGCAUCUACCAAACUAUCUGUUGAUGCACAGAAAGCAGAGGAUAUGCGGCAUCUGUUUGCAAGUGCAGAGACUGCCAUGGAGGCAUGGGCUAUGCUUGCCACCUCACUUGGGCGUAAUAGUUUUAUCAAAUCAGAUUUUGAAAAGAUAUGUUUUCUUGACAACGUUUCGACAGACACACAAGUUGCCAUUUGGCGCGAUUCUUCACGAAGAAGGCUAGUUGUUGCCUUUCGAGGAACUGAACAAUCAAAGUGGAAGGAUUUGAGAACUGACUUAAUGCUGCUACCUGCUGGACUAAACCCUGAAAGGCUGGGUGGUGACUUCAAACAAGAAGUUCAAGUUCACAGUGGAUUCUUAGGUGCAUAUGACUCUGUUAGGAAUAGGAUCAUGGCGCUCAUCAAAUUUGCAGUAGGAUACCAGGAUGAAGAAGAUGCAGAAAAUAUACCUAGGUGGCAUGUAUAUGUAACUGGACACAGUUUAGGUGGAGCACUAGCAACCCUUCUUGCUCUUGAACUUUCAUCAAGUCAAAUGGCCAAGAAUGGUGUCAUAUUUGUCACAAUGUACAACUUUGGCUCCCCUAGAGUGGGAAAUAGAAGAUUCGCAGAAGUCUACAAUGCGAAAGUAAAGGACAGCUGGAGAAUUGUCAAUCACCGAGAUAUCAUUCCAACAGUACCACGUCUUAUGGGCUAUUGCCAUGUGGAAGCACCAGUUUAUCUCAAAUUUGGAGAUUCCAAAGAUGAACUGGUAAACAAUGGAAUAUUAGAUGAUGAAGACCAAGGUGAUGUGAUAGGGGAGUACACACCGGAUGUUCUUGUUACUGAAUUUAUGAAAGGAGAGAAGCAACUUGUGGAGAAACUACUGCAAACAGAAAUAAAUUUACUCCGCUCAAUCAGGGAUGGUUCGGCCCUUAUGCAGCACAUGGAAGACUUUUACUAUGUCACACUUCUCGAGAAUGUGAGAUCAAGGUAUCAAGUGGUUGACAGUGCAAUUGAUGAAUCCCAUCAAUUGACAGCAUGAUCCUAGUAAACUUGCAUGGUUAAACAUCCUGGACCGUGUUUCCCUACAAAAACUACAGUUCUGAUGGAAGGACAUUGUAUGAGCUAUGAAGGUGCCAUGGUGUGUCCCAUCCUCACUCUUCGCAAUCCAAACAUGCACAUCCUAUGACUGUUGUGCCAUUUAAACAUUUCAACGUACAGUUUAUAUGCUCAUUCUUUAUUCUAGGUCUAGAGUUACCAAUCAGGUUAGUGAAAAGAUGUGAACUGGUUCACUGGUAUAUACUGGUGGUACUGUGGCCACUGGUGGAGAUGUUUGAGCGGGCUAUUUUUAGUUGAUGUAACUAGCACACAUUCUGAUAUAGUAUAUGAUGUUAGAAAGUCUAGAAUAGCAGGGUGCAGCUACUUGUACAAUGUCAUAUAUAGGUGAUACAAGGAUGGGGCUGUCAGGGCGUGCUUGGUUGAGUGUAGGUUGAUGGAAUGCGCUGGAACCAUCUUCUAUGAACGGAACGGGAUAUCAAGUAGUCCACCUACAUGGAGAGCAGGCGCAACUGUGCCAGGUGGCACUGUCUUUUCUCCCUCCUACUUGGCCCGUUGCCUCUAAAGUGGAGACUACAUUAUCACCAGCAAAUGGGAGAGGCAGGAAUUAUGGCGUGAUGUUGGGAACGUGAACAAAUAAUCCAAGGGUACUCAGGAGCGAGACGUUAUGGAAGCGCGGUCCACACUGUUUGUCUUACGUUACAGCUAAUGAGCUUAACAAAAGCAAGAUAUGGACACGCGGACCACAAUGUUUAUCUAGGUUACAGCUAAUGAGCUACACAAAACAAAUAUUCAUGCUUCCUUGAAAAUAUACUGGAUUCCAGACUGAGUUUACAGUUGCUCCAAUCCCAUGAGUAUUGAAUAGA
Setaria italica (foxtail millet) is the source of this 3651-nucleotide RNA transcript. RefSeq lists it as uncharacterized. The transcript is spliced from 19 exons. The record is from RefSeq and is a predicted model, not a curated record. NCBI's taxonomy places the organism in Eukaryota, Viridiplantae, Streptophyta, Magnoliopsida, Poales, Poaceae.